Paramormyrops kingsleyae is the source of this 110-nucleotide small nucleolar RNA. The record is from Ensembl. NCBI's taxonomy places the organism in Eukaryota, Metazoa, Chordata, Actinopteri, Osteoglossiformes, Mormyridae.
CUCCAGUGAUGAGUCUGCCAUGCUAAUACUGAUACACCAGGUAGACUGUGUCUGUUUGGGUGUAAGUGUGUUGAACGUUUCUCACACUGGUGCAGUGUGCUCUGAGGAGA